RNAcentral lists this long non-coding RNA (1135 nucleotides) under Rattus norvegicus (Norway rat). Its description in RNAcentral is "long non-coding RNA NONRATT033069". Lineage: Eukaryota; Metazoa; Chordata; Mammalia; Rodentia; Muridae. The record is from RNAcentral.
GGACAGUUGGGAGAGUUGGGAGAGGAGGAAUGAAGAUAGGUGGGAGAGGGGAGUUCAGGGACACGAUGGGGAACUGAGGAAAAGUUAGGAGGAGUCAGGGGAGGAGAAAGGAAAGAAGCGAGGAGAGAGUCGUCGUGGGAGAAGAAGAAGCUGGAUACUUGGCAAAUAAAAGGUGCAAGGGAUGAGGGAUUUGGGAGCUAGGAAUAGGACAGUGUAGGGUGGAUCUGCCCAAUCUAGACGCUGGAUUGUUUUCACAUUAAUUGAGGUGCGUUUUCUUUGUACGGGCUGAUUCGGGUUGGAGAGGAAACUUCAACAGUAGUGGAUCCAGGGACUGCUAACUGGGGGUAACUAUCUUCUUCAGAACUCCACUGCCCCAGUCUUGAGGACAGAAAGUAAAGAAACCAGAGGGAUGUGCCCAGCCUUCAUUGGUCCACUUCAGCUCUGACCUCAGAAGGAACCAUUGUGAGGUCAUUGACCUGCCCACUUAUAGCUCAGGCUGAGGCUGCCUCCUCUCCUUACACUGCAGUAGCUGUUGGUGAACCACUGCACUGGGAUCCUUGUGAAUUGUUCAGUCUGAACAUAGUGAGUUUUCUUCUACAUUCCUAUGUUUCAGCUGUUCCAUGACAACUCAGUCUCAUAUUUUGUGCCUACUGCUUUGGAAGAUGCUCUUCUUCUCUUCCCAAGCAUUCAAAGUAUCUAACUAGUUGUGGUUUUCCUGUUGACUGAUGUGCUGACCCCAGCAAGUGGCACCAAAGUGAAGGCUCAACUAUGGGGAAGGCAGAGAAGGACACCUCCUGGAAUGCUCAGGAAAAGUGAAAGUGUUGGCAGUGGUGAGUUUGACUACUUUAGACAUCUUAGUGAAGUUCCAUUCAACACAAACUGGCAACCCUAUAACAUGACCGUUGAUGGCUGUCCCAGCAUACAUGUAUCAUUAUCACCACAAUCUCUGGGCCCUCACAAAUGGAGGGAUGCAAGAUCAGGGGGGCAGGAACACAGGCCCAAUGCAGUUCUCCUCGACUCGGCAUCAGGACGUGGAGCAUCAGCAUCAGCAUCAUGGAUCUGGUCAAUCGCUGCUCCCACAUGGCCAAACAAAUGCUCUGAAAGCUACCUAGCCCUUUCAGCAUCCUGUGGAUAA